Molecule: ribosomal RNA, 380 nt
Filed under: uncultured bacterium
Lineage: Bacteria
Description: bacterial SSU rRNA
Rfam family: Bacterial small subunit ribosomal RNA
Source: RNAcentral
CAGUGGCGGACGGGUGAGUAACGCGUAGGAAUCUAUCCUUGAAUGGGGGACAACCGUGGGAAACUACGGCUAAUACCGCAUGAUCCCUGAGGGGCAAAGGCGAAAGUCGCCUGAGGAGGAGCCUGCGUCUGAUUAGCUUGUUGGUGGGUAAAGGCCUACCAAGGCGACGAUCAGUAGCUGGUCUGAGAGGAUGAUCAGCCACACUGGGACUGAGACACGGCCCAGACUCCUACGGGAGGCAGCAGUGGGGAAUAUUGGACAAUGGGCGCAAGCCUGAUCCAGCAAUGCCGCGUGGGUGAAGAAGGUCUUCGGAUUGUAAAGCCCUUUUGGCAGGGACGAUGAUGACGGUACCUGCAGAAUAAGCCCCGGCUAACUUCGUG